Long non-coding RNA from Leopardus geoffroyi (Geoffroy's cat), 843 nucleotides. RefSeq lists it as uncharacterized. The record is from RefSeq and is a predicted model, not a curated record. Lineage: Eukaryota; Metazoa; Chordata; Mammalia; Carnivora; Felidae. The transcript is spliced from 2 exons.
AUAAUAUAUACCCAAACACACAAAAAUAAAAUCUACGUAUUAAACCCAGUCAAUAAACAGGAUUAUAGAUCAUCAGACGAUGAGCAUCCAUUGGCUUCUCUACAUUUAUUUUAGCUCAGUAGAUUUAACAGCUUCAUAACAGUUUUCACAAAGGGUGAAAAGAACGUAAGUUGACUGACAAAACGGCCACCUUUCUAGCAAGGCUUCUCAUCUUUCCUUAAUCACAUGACUACAAAAUUAAACCAAAACGAACCUACACUUUUAGGAUACCGAUCCUAUUUCCUCUUCAUUAUUCUUUAUCCUCCAAUUUCUUGAUUUUGAUGGGGUCUUGCUUUCUCAGAGAAAUCUAGUUAUGCCCAAUGCACUUUAGUCAGUAAUCGAUAAUCACCAAGUUGGUUCUGAUAAAAGAGUCCUUGCUCCCUCCAAGAAAACUAUUAAGCUAUCGUUUCCUUGAAGGUUGAGAAUAUCUAUGUGUCAUGCCCUUUAAACAAAAUCCAUCCAUAGAAAGGGGAUAUUUUGUUUGAAAGACAUGUAAAAUAACGUUGAUAUACAUACUUGCUUUCAACAAAUAUUGCACUUGAAAUCAGUGAAUGCAACUGACAUUUAAAAUACUCUUUCUCUGGGGGGAGAAAAAUGACAAGCAUUUAAAAACCAUGUCAGGCAGCAAAAUUAAUAUAAUUUAACAUUCACAAUUAUUUCUUCCCCAAAACAAGAAGUAUGAAUCAUUCUUGCCAACAAUUUUGAAAGACUUUUAUUCUCUUCCUUUAUACAUCAGUCAAACUCUGCACUUAGGUGUUUUCUACCGAGAAAAUGAUUAAUAAACCCAAUUUUGAUAAAUGCUGA